Molecule: ribosomal RNA, 511 nt
Filed under: uncultured Bacillus sp.
Lineage: Bacteria; Bacillati; Bacillota; Bacilli; Caryophanales; Bacillaceae
Description: bacterial SSU rRNA
Rfam family: Bacterial small subunit ribosomal RNA
Source: RNAcentral
GUAGUUGAUCCGUGCUCGAGACGACGCUGGCGGCGUGCCUAAUACAUGCAAGUCGAGCGGACUUUAAAAGCUUGCUUUAAAGUUAGCGGCGGACGGGUGAGUAACACGUGGGCAACCUGCCUGUAAGACUGGGAUAACUUCGGGAAACCGGAGCUAAUACCGGAUAAUUCUUUCCACCACAUGGUGGAAAGCUGAAAGACGGUUUCGGCUGUCACUUACAGAUGGGCCCGCGGCGCAUUAGCUAGUUGGUGAGGUAACGGCUCACCAAGGCAACGAUGCGUAGCCGACCUGAGAGGGUGAUCGGCCACACUGGGACUGAGACACGGCCCAGACUCCUACGGGAGGCAGCAGUAGGGAAUCUUCCGCAAUGGACGAAAGUCUGACGGAGCAACGCCGCGUGAGUGAUGAAGGUUUUCGGAUCGUAAAGCUCUGUUGUUAGGGAAGAACAAGUACAAGAGUAACUGCUUGUACCUUGACGGUACCUAACCAGAAAGCCACGGCUAACUACGUG